UCUCUCUGUAGUGUAGUAGUUACACGUUCGCCUCACACGCGAAAGGUCCCUGGUUUAAAGAGCAUAGUGCAGGUUGGAGAC
Molecule: non-coding RNA, 81 nt
Organism: Merluccius polli (Benguela hake)
Lineage: Eukaryota; Metazoa; Chordata; Actinopteri; Gadiformes; Merlucciidae
Source: the annotation of a GenBank genome assembly